GAAGAGAACAGGUAGUUGCUGCUGUCUUUUUUGUUCUCUUACUGAGGGGUUCGCGUUUUUAAAGGGGUUUACGACCCAAGAGGCGAUACAGAUGUUGAAGUAAACAUUGCCUGGGAAGGUGUGCCGUUGUAAAGACGAAUGCUCCAAUCUGACUACGUCUAUAACCAGUACUACACCGAAACUAUUUAACUGCUCCAUACGAAGGCAACCCAGCCCGUGAUAUGUCCUCGAGGAAUUGUGAUAGAAGUGUCAAUAUAACAAAGCAGCGUGGGACAGGACAAGAGUGGAGGAGGACGACGUGCAUAGGCAAGAGUAACAUUCAUGUCAGUCGUCUCAGUUUGUACUGCUUCGUCCGAUUUAAGGCCAACACUAGCUGACCUAUUGGGGAGCUUCCAAGAUCCUGGCCUGGCCCUCAAAACUCAAGCACACCAAGACCUUCCUCUAGAAGACAAGAUAACAUACCAAAAUCUGAAUGGCUGACCUGUCUGCUACCAUCACCUUUGGGGCAUUAGAGUUUGUAGCACCACAGCCUACACAACCACAUCAGAACCUCAAGAACAAGAACAAGAACCUGCAAGGAUUUAAAGGAGAGUGAAAAAAUUCCAUCAUCGACAGUAAGCAGUUGGUGUUGCUCAGCAUGCUGCAACACCACAGCUGCCUGACAAGGAACGGCCAUUACAGCCAUGCCGUGCAGUGCUCCUUGUGUGGUCUGACCCUCAAGUUGACCAUGCACAGCCAGCAUCAGUGCACCACUACUGCAAGGCCCAUAACUGCUAAGCUCACAGUCUGGGGACUCUUCAGGAACCACUAAGAGACAUGGUAUUAUGUUAUCCUCAGCAGUCACUCAUCAAAGAUCUCAAGAAUUUGCUAGCUUAUUUCUCAACCAGUUUAUAUUAUUGAUGCUGUUGCUACUAGACUGACCUUGAGUGAUCCUUGCUAUUGCUGAUGCUGCACCUGACCUGCAGCCCCACCCAAGUGCUGCUGGAGGACAAGGCUCAGCAUCCACAGGCCCUGCUUGACAGAGAUGUACUAGAGGAGCUGGACUGGACAGCCUACCUAAGGGACUACAAUUCACUGUUUGAGUAAUUGUAAUUGUAAUUUAAUUGACAUGUAAUUAAUUUUAGAAAGUGAUAUAAUUGUAAUUAUAAAAUGAGAAUUUAAGGAAUUAAUUAUAAUUGCAAUUAAUUAUAUCAAAAUAAUUGAAAUUUAAUAGUAAUUGUGGAAAAGCAAAGUAGUAGUAAAAUUCUGAAUAGCUGAUGAUAAUUAAAUGUAAUAGCGAAUUGUAUGGAAAACUGACUGCCAUUUAGAUAUACAUAAGCCUACUAUCUACAGUUCCUUUGAAAGUGAAAGGUUAAAUUGAUUUUUCUACAAAUUGGUUACUUAAGUUUUCACCGUUUUUUGUUGAAAAGAACAAAAAUACAAAAAAUUAAAUCUUUAGUUAAUUUUCUUCCAAUUUACAUUUAUUUUUACUUUUGUUUUAAAUAAAGAGCAAAAUUUCUAACCACAAUAAAUUUGCAAAUUUAUUUACAAAUUCGUUAAAUAAUUUGCACAUUUGUUCAAUAAGUGACAACCACACAAUACGUGUGUUUUUCUUUUUAACAAUUUUUUUUGUCCGGAGUUGGGAAUUUGUAACUGUAACUGUAAUUAAGAUUUAUUUUAUUUUGUAGUAAUUGUAACUGAACUUCCCAGGAGUAAUUAUAAUUAUGAUUAUAUUUUUUUAUUUUUGUAAAUGUAAUUGUAAUUGAAAAUUUGAAUUGUAAUAACUCCAACCCAGGACUAUAUAUGUGGUCCUGAGGAGCCUCUUUCAGUGAGUCUCAUGUUUGUGUUACCAGCAGGCAGGACUUGGGUGCCUGCUGUGUGUGGAGGCAUUCCUGGUGGAAAGCACCAACUCAUGGUUAGUUUGAUCUUGCACACUCAUACAACUCAGCUCAGUUCAGAGAGGCAGAUAUCCAUGAGUAUCACAUAGCACCUGUACUCAUACACUACCAUGCACUGUUAGGAAAAACAGAACCUAAUACUCAUACUCUGAAUAUUUGCAACAACAUACAGCCAAUGUAAGAUUGUAAAUGUUCAAAAUGUGCCAGAAUGGACAAAUUUUCAUAUUCUAUAGUGUCUAUAUUCCUGAAUGAGUUUCACUAGAAAAAUUAGAUUAUUUAAGUUCAAGAAGAUUCACAUGAUAAAUAGAUUUAUGUGAUGAAAUUGUUGAUUUUAUUAAUAUAUAUGGAUACAUUAAUGGUGAUGAAAUAAAUUUUUCCCCACCAACCUUUAGAUGACUGAAGAGGAAUCUGUGUGCCUGACAAGGAUGGAGUAAAGUGGCCUUCAUACUACCCAGGGACAACCUGUAGAUGCACCUUUUCUGGCAUUGGUUGUUACCUCCCAGAAGCACUUCCCUUCCUUCCCUCUCCUUUCGCUGUCAUUUACAGUUCUGAGGUGGAAUUAACACCAAGGGUGAGCCACAGUGUUAUGUCUUAGGUUAUCAAUGCUUCACCAUCCCUUUUCUUGGAUUAGUGCCAGAUGCCAUAACUGAGGGAAGCCUGUAGCUGUCUGCUGGCUCUGCCGGCUGGGCUCUUCCCUGCAUCACCACUCACACCAUCCCAGGUGUGGAGACAAGGAAAGACUGCAGAAAUCUGGCAACAGUUGAGAGGCAACCCCUCACCGGAUCCUGAUGAAGACACCAGUUGCAGUAACCUGCCUGUCUGACCUGUGCUUUCCCAGAUCAUAAAGGAAGUUUGGUGUGUGACUUCUAGCCUCAGUCAGUCCCUAUUAACAUUAUAAGCUGCAGAAUAAAAGAAGCAAUUAGAGA
Long non-coding RNA from Scylla paramamosain (green mud crab), 2803 nucleotides. RefSeq lists it as uncharacterized. NCBI's taxonomy places the organism in Eukaryota, Metazoa, Arthropoda, Malacostraca, Decapoda, Portunidae. The record is from RefSeq and is a predicted model, not a curated record. The transcript has 4 exons.